AUAUUUCGCGUCGGUGGGCAUUUAGAUUGUGGACAUGGGAUACCGCAACACGACAGGGUGGAGCGGGCUCUUCCUACGAGCGGACUGGCUCUCUGUCCAGGGUUGCGCCCCGCCUCCCGCCUGAUGACUCCAGCCGCUCUUGUGACCCUGAAAGGACAAACGUGUUAGCAGAGUGAUUCGUCGUCGUAUUGUGGGAAAUUCAGUGCGCGGAUCGAAGAACUGGAUCACAGGACGACUAUGUGGGAUCCUCCUUUAGAUUUACGGUUGCUCUUAAACACGGCCUGCACUCUGUUGGCAAGCACCUGGUUUGAACAGUAAAAUGUAUUUCUUUGCAAAUCUGCUCCAAGUUUCAGUUACCUUUCAGGGAUGAUUGACAGGACGGGCCUGCCACCUGUUUUA
Molecule: long non-coding RNA, 399 nt
Organism: Poecilia reticulata (guppy)
Lineage: Eukaryota; Metazoa; Chordata; Actinopteri; Cyprinodontiformes; Poeciliidae
Source: RefSeq, a predicted model, not a curated record